Molecule: ribosomal RNA, 440 nt
Filed under: uncultured bacterium
Lineage: Bacteria
Description: partial 16S ribosomal RNA
Rfam family: Bacterial small subunit ribosomal RNA
Source: RNAcentral
CCUACGGGAGGCUGCAGUGGGGGAUAUUGCACAAUGGGGGGAACCCUGAUGCAGCGACGCCGCGUGGGUGAAGAAGCGCCUCGGCGCGUAAAGCCCUGUCAGCAGGGAAGAAAAUGACGGUACCUGAAGAAGAAGCCCCGGCUAACUACGUGCCAGCAGCCGCGGUAAUACGUAGGGGGCAAGCGUUAUCCGGAUUUACUGGGUGUAAAGGGGGCGCAGGCGGCGGUGCAAGUCAGGAGGGAAAGCCCGGGGCCCAACCCUGGGACUGCUCUUGGAACUGCGUGGCUGGAGUGCAGGAGGGGCAAGUGGAAUUCUUGGUGUAGCGGUGAAAUGCGUAGAUAUCAGGAGGAACACCGGUGGCGAAGGCGGCUUGCUGGACUGUAAAUGACGUUGAGGCUCGAAAGCGUGGGGAGCAAACAGGAUUAGAUACCCCGGUAGUC